RNAcentral lists this ribosomal RNA (531 nucleotides) under Triticum aestivum (bread wheat). RNAcentral's name for it is "partial small subunit ribosomal RNA". The record is from RNAcentral. Lineage: Eukaryota; Viridiplantae; Streptophyta; Magnoliopsida; Poales; Poaceae.
AUGGGAUUAGCAGGAGGACCAUCCACCUUCAAUGGUGCAAUGAUUGAGACUUUACAUCCGGCGCUCCGCAAAUUUGUGCUCCUCUUCUUUGAUGAUAUUUUAAUCUUCAGUCGCACUCUGGAGGAUCAUAAGUCUCACCUGGCGCAAGUUCUUCAGCUGCUGCGGCGCGACCAAUGGAAGCUUAAAGCCUCCAAGUGUUGUUUUGGCCAGCAGCGACUAUCGUAUCUUGGGCAUAUUAUCAGUUCGUUAGGAGUCGCCACGGACCCCAGCAAGGUUGCAGCAGUGUCUCAAUGGCCCACACCAUCAGAUACUAAGGAAGUACGCCGGUUCCUUGGGCUUGCUGGUUAUUAUCGCUGCUUCAUGCGCCUUUUUGGAAUCAUAGCACGACCUUUGUUUAACCUGCUCAAGAAGGGAGUCCCAUUUGUAUGGACCCAGGCAACAGAGGAAUCUUUCCAGCUCCUUAAACAAGGGCUAGUCACAGCACCGGUGCUUGUUUUCUCAGCCAUUCAUUGUCGAGACAGAUGCUUGUGA